RNAcentral lists this long non-coding RNA (858 nucleotides) under Vigna radiata. RNAcentral describes it as "long non-coding RNA (VRAD_LNC015832)". The record is from RNAcentral. Lineage: Eukaryota; Viridiplantae; Streptophyta; Magnoliopsida; Fabales; Fabaceae.
ACACACUCAAGGGUAGGUUUUGAAAAUAUUUCAGUCAAGGCCAGAGAAUUUUGUGGAUCACUUCCACCUAAGAUGCUACCAUUCACAAAUACCUUUCUUCAAUUUCCAAAAAUUAAGACUGGAAUCAGAUUAUCAAUGAUGAAAAUGAUCAGGCGAAGGUAAAGAGAUAGGAAAUGACAAACAGCAGGGUAAUAGACUCAAAAGCAUAUUCAUAAAGCAAAGAAAAGCUCAAAUUAAAAACGGCUGAACAGAUUUACACGUGAUGGACAAAACCAAGAUAGCCAAACAAUUGAGAAGCAAACAAAAAUCAAAGCUAUCAAGAAAAUAAGCACAGCAAAUAGAACCUAAAGAAUAGCACUAGAACAGAUUUUAAAGACAAGAAAAGACACAACAAGAAAUCACAAAAUUGGUUGUUGAAAUCAGAAUUUCAAAAGCAAAAAUUGAACUGGUCCAUUAGCUAAUGUUAGCAUUUUCAGUUCUGGACACAUUUGCAUACUGAAAUCCAAUGGAGCAAGUUUAUUUAUGCUUGUUUUGAUCACGCAAGGCCAUUUUACACUCUUUCAUAGGCUUUUACUCAAAUUCAAAUAUUCAGUUCCUCAUUUUUCUUUUCAGGAUUUGCCUCUUUUGACUGAUUUUCUCAACUAAUAUGCUUUUAUUUCAUCUUGGAUCAAAAGAAUGAUUUAACAAGUGUUUAAAUAACUUAGUUCUGCAGUUUAGAAGGAAAAACAAAAAAAAUGGCUUGCAAAGACUCUAGGAUAUUGAUUAAACAAGAAGCUUAGUAAUGAAAUAAUACCAAGCAGAACAGACACACACUAAAAGACAUUCAAAGAAGUACCAGUUCGGUGUAGCUGGCCAAAC